Molecule: ribosomal RNA, 1355 nt
Filed under: uncultured bacterium
Lineage: Bacteria
Description: bacterial SSU rRNA
Rfam family: Bacterial small subunit ribosomal RNA
Source: RNAcentral
AUUGAACGCUGGCGGCAGGCUUAACACAUGCAAGUCGAACGAUGAUUAUCUAGCUUGCUAGAUAUGAUUAGUGGCGGACGGGUGAGUAACAUUUAGGAAUCUGCCUAGUAGUGGGGGAUAGCUCGGGGAAACUCGAAUUAAUACCGCAUACGACCUACGGGUGAAAGGGGGCGCAAGCUCUUGCUAUUAGAUGAGCCUAAAUCAGAUUAGCUAGUUGGUGGGGUAAAGGCCCACCAAGGCGACGAUCUGUAACUGGUCUGAGAGGAUGAUCAGUCACACCGGAACUGAGACACGGUCCGGACUCCUACGGGAGGCAGCAGUGGGGAAUAUUGGACAAUGGGGGCAACCCUGAUCCAGCCAUGCCGCGUGUGUGAAGAAGGCCUUUUGGUUGUAAAGCACUUUAAGCAGGGAGGAGAGGCUAAUGGUUAAUACCCAUUAGAUUAGACGUUACCUGCAGAAUAAGCACCGGCUAACUCUGUGCCAGCAGCCGCGGUAAUACAGAGGGUGCGAGCGUUAAUCGGAAUUACUGGGCGUAAAGCGAGUGUAGGUGGCUCAUUAAGUCACAUGUGAAAUCCCCGGGCUUAACCUGGGAACUGCAUGUGAUACUGGUGGUGCUAGAAUAUGUGAGAGGGAAGUAGAAUUCCAGGUGUAGCGGUGAAAUGCGUAGAGAUCUGGAGGAAUACCGAUGGCGAAGGCAGCUUCCUGGCAUAAUAUUGACACUGAGAUUCGAAAGCGUGGGUAGCAAACAGGAUUAGAUACCCUGGUAGUCCACGCCGUAAACGAUGUCUACUAGCCGUUGGGGUCCUUGAGACUUUAGUGGCGCAGUUAACGCGAUAAGUAGACCGCCUGGGGAGUACGGCCGCAAGGUUAAAACUCAAAUGAAUUGACGGGGGCCCGCACAAGCGGUGGAGCAUGUGGUUUAAUUCGAUGCAACGCGAAGAACCUUACCUGGUCUUGACAUAGUGAGAAUCCUGCAGAGAUGCGGGAGUGCCUUCGGGAAUUCACAUACAGGUGCUGCAUGGCUGUCGUCAGCUCGUGUCGUGAGAUGUUGGGUUAAGUCCCGCAACGAGCGCAACCCUUUUCCUUAUUUGCCAGCGGGUUAAGCCGGGAACUUUAAGGAUACUGCCAGUGACAAACUGGAGGAAGGCGGGGACGACGUCAAGUCAUCAUGGCCCUUACGACCAGGGCUACACACGUGCUACAAUGGUAGGUACAGAGGGUUGCUACACAGCGAUGUGAUGCUAAUCUCAAAAAGCCUAUCGUAGUCCGGAUUGGGGUCUGCAACUCGACUCCAUGAAGUCGGAAUCGCUAGUAAUCGCAGAUCAGAAUGCUGCGGUGAAUACGUUCCCGGGCCU